RNAcentral lists this ribosomal RNA (515 nucleotides) under uncultured Actinomycetes bacterium. RNAcentral's name for it is "bacterial SSU rRNA". It matches the Rfam family "Bacterial small subunit ribosomal RNA", at positions 819 to 1334 of the family's 1533-position model. Lineage: Bacteria; Bacillati; Actinomycetota; Actinomycetes. The record is from RNAcentral.
GGUGUGGGUGGACAUCGACCCCAUCCGUGCCGAAGCUAACGCAUUAAGCACCCCGCCUGGGGAGUACGGCCGCAAGGCUAAAACUCAAAGGAAUUGACGGGGCCCCGCACAAGCGGCGGAGCAUGCGGCUUAAUUCGAUGCGACGCGAAGAACCUUACCUGGGUUUGACAUGCAGGGUGAAACCCGUGAAAACGGGCGCUCUUCGGAGCCUGCACAGGUGGUGCAUGGCUGUCGUCAGCUCGUGCCGUGAGGUGUUGCCUUAAGUGGCGCAACGAGCGCAACCCCUGUCCUUAGUUGCCAGCGGAUCAUGCCGGGAACUCUAGGGAGACUGCCGGUGCCAAACCGGAGGAAGGUGGGGAUGACGUCAAGUCAGCAUGCCCCUUAUAUCCCAGGGCUGCACGCAUGCUACAAUGCGCGGUACAGAGGGCGGCGAUCCCGCAAGGGGGAGCGAAUCCCAAAAAGCCGCGCUCAGUUCGGAUCGAGGUCUGCAACCCGACCUCGUGAAGUCGGAGUCG